AUGAACGCUAGCGGCAGGCCUAACACAUGCAAGUCGAGGGGUAACAGAGAGAAGCUUGCUUCUUUGCUGACGACCGGCGCACGGGUGCGUAACGCGUAUACAAUCUACCUUUUGCUGAGGGAUAGCCCAGAGAAAUUUGGAUUAAUACCUCAUAGUAUAUAUGAAUCGCAUGGUUUAUAUAUUAAAGGUUACGGCAGAAGAUGAGUAUGCGUUCUAUUAGCUAGAUGGUGUGGUAACGGCACACCAUGGCAACGAUAGAUAGGGGCCCUGAGAGGGGGAUCCCCCACACUGGUACUGAGACACGGACCAGACUCCUACGGGAGGCAGCAGUGAGGAAUAUUGGACAAUGGGCGAGAGCCUGAUCCAGCCAUGCCGCGUGCAGGAAGACUGCCCUAUGGGUUGUAAACUGCUUUUAUACAGGAAGAAACACUCCCUCGUGAGGGAGCUUGACGGUACUGUAAGAAUAAGGAUCGGCUAACUCCGUGCCAGCAGCCGCGGUAAUACGGAGGAUCCAAGCGUUAUCCGGAAUCAUUGGGUUUAAAGGGUCCGUAGGUGGAUAAUUAAGUCAGGGGUGAAAGUCUGCAGCUCAACUGUAGAAUUGCCUUUGAUACUGGUUAUCUUGAAUUAUUAUGAAGUAGUUAGAAUAUGUAGUGUAGCGGUGAAAUGCAUAGAUAUUACAUAGAAUACCAAUUGCGAAGGCAGAUUACUAAUAAUAUAUUGACACUGAUGGACGAAAGCGUGGGGAGCGAACAGGAUUAGAUACCCUGGUAGUCCACGCCGUAAACGAUGGAUACUAGCUGUUCGGAUUUAUCUGAGUGGCUAAGCGAAAGUGAUAA
RNAcentral lists this ribosomal RNA (836 nucleotides) under uncultured Gaetbulibacter sp. RNAcentral's name for it is "bacterial SSU rRNA". It matches the Rfam family "Bacterial small subunit ribosomal RNA", at positions 29 to 863 of the family's 1533-position model. The record is from RNAcentral. Lineage: Bacteria; Pseudomonadati; Bacteroidota; Flavobacteriia; Flavobacteriales; Flavobacteriaceae.